Molecule: ribosomal RNA, 471 nt
Filed under: uncultured bacterium
Lineage: Bacteria
Description: partial 16S ribosomal RNA
Rfam family: Bacterial small subunit ribosomal RNA
Source: RNAcentral
GACGAACGCUGGCGGCGUGCUUAACACAUGCAAGUCGAACGAUGAAGCGGUGCUUGCACCGUGGAUUAGUGGCGAACGGGUGAGUAAUACGUGAGUGACCUACCUUUGACUCUGGGAUAAGCCUGGGAAACUGGGUCUAAUACCGGAUACGACCAAUCUCUGCAUGGGGUGUUGGUGGAAAGCGUUAUGGAGUGGUUUUAGAUGGGCUCACGGCCUAUCAGCUUGUUGGUGAGGUAAUGGCUUACCAAGGCGACGACGGGUAACCGGCCUGAGAGGGUGACCGGCCACACUGGGACUGAGACACGGCCCAGACUCCUACGGGAGGCAGCAGUGGGGAAUAUUGCACAAUGGGCGCAAGCCUGAUGCAGCGACGCCGCGUGAGGGAUGACGGCCUUCGGGUUGUAAACCUCUGUUAGCAUCGAAGAAGCGAAAGUGACGGUAGGUGCAGAGAAAGCGCCGGCUAACUACGUG